GACGAAGGUGGCGAGCGUUGUUCGGAUUCACUGGGCGUAAAGGGUGCGUAGGCGGCCGGGUAAGUCUGGUGUGAAAGUUCGCAGCUCAACUGCGAAAAGUCAUUGGAUACUCUCCGACUGGAGGAAUGGAGGGGGGACUGGAAUACUUGGUGUAGCAGUGAAAUGCGUAGAUAUCAAGUGGAACACCAGUGGCGAAGGCGAGUCCCUGGACAUUUCCUGACGCUGAGGCACGAAAGCUAGGGGAGCAAACAGG
Molecule: ribosomal RNA, 253 nt
Filed under: uncultured bacterium
Lineage: Bacteria
Description: partial 16S ribosomal RNA
Rfam family: Bacterial small subunit ribosomal RNA
Source: RNAcentral